Long non-coding RNA from Bombina bombina (fire-bellied toad), 272 nucleotides. RefSeq lists it as uncharacterized. The record is from RefSeq and is a predicted model, not a curated record. The transcript has 3 exons. Lineage: Eukaryota; Metazoa; Chordata; Amphibia; Anura; Bombinatoridae.
CGAAGAUCCAGAAUGGAGAUCAGAAUUCGGCAACAGGAGCUGUUUAAGCAAGUGAAGGAGUUGGAAGAACAAAACCUAAAACUGAACCAAAUAGAAAUGAGGACUCAGACUGUUGGAAGAGAGAACAUGGAAAGUACUCUUAAUAAAGUGAUCAUAAUUCAAGAGAUUUUUCAGGAGACUGGAGAUGAGGCAAUACCGGAGGUUGAGCAGGAGUAGACCAGAAUGGCAAAAACGUCCAGGAAGAGAAAAACUGCCUAAAUGGCGACAUCACA